AUCGACGAACUUCUUUGAAGUGAGUGGUGAACGGGUGAGUAAUCCUAUGUCUAAUCUACCCCAAUGUGGGGGAUAACUAUCUGAAAAGGUAGCUAAUACCGCAUAGGACAUUUGAUGGUAUCUUCGAAUGUUUAAAGGUGCGUUUGCACCGCAAUGGGAUGAGGACAUACGACAUUAGCUAGUUGGUAGGGUAAUGGCCUACCAAGGCGACGAUGUCUAGCCGGGUUGAGAGACCGACCGGCCACAAGGGGACUGAGACACGGCCCCUACUCCUACGGGAGGCUGCAGUAGGGAAUUUUCCACAAUGGACGAAAGUCUGAUGGAGCAAUGCCGCGUGAGGGAUGACACAUUUCGGUGCGUAAACCUCUGUUGUUAGGGAAGAACAACCUAGACAGGAAAUGGCCUAGGCUUGACGGUACCUUUCCAGAAAGUCACGGCAAACUAUGUGCCAGCAGCCGCGGUAAUACAUAGGUGGCAAGCGUUAUCCGGAUUUAUUGGGCGUAAAGAGUGCACAGGUGGUCAAGUAAGUCAGAUGUUAAAUACUGGGGCUCAACCCCAGCCUGCAUUUGAAACUGCUAGACUCGAAUAUCGGUGGGAGUAGUGGAAUUCCAUGUGUAGCGGUGGAAUGCAUAAAUAUAUGGAGGAACACCAGUGGCGAAGGCGGCUACUUGAGCGAUUAUUGACACUUAAGCACGAAAGCGUGGGGAGCAAAUAGGAUUAGAUACCCUAGUAGUCCACGCCGUAAACGAUCUUGACUAGCUGUCGGUUUAACCGGUGGCGCAGCUAACGCAUUAAGUCAAGCGCCUGGGGAGUACGUGCGCAAGCAUAAAACUCA
This 835-nucleotide ribosomal RNA is filed under the name uncultured Gram-positive bacterium. RNAcentral's name for it is "bacterial SSU rRNA". It matches the Rfam family "Bacterial small subunit ribosomal RNA", at positions 71 to 903 of the family's 1533-position model. The record is from RNAcentral.